UAGGGAAUCUUCGGCAAUGGGGGCAACCCUGACCGAGCAACGCCGCGUGAGUGAAGAAGGUUUUCGGAUCGUAAAGCUCUGUUGUAAGUCAAGAACGAGUGUGAGAGUGGAAAGUUCACACUGUGACGGUAGCUUACCAGAAAGGGACGGCUAACUACGUGCCUGCAGCCGCGGUAAUACGUAGGUCCCGAGCGUUGUCCGGAUUUAUUGGGCGUAAAGCGAGCGCAGGCGGUUAGAUAAGUCUGAAGUUAAAGGCUGUGGCUUAACCAUAGUUCGCUUUGGAAACUGUCUAACUUGAGUGCAAAAGGGGAGAGUGGAAUUCCAUGUGUAGCGGUGAAAUGCGUAGAUAUAUGGAGGAACACCGGUGGCGAAAGCGGCUCUCUGGCCUGUAACUGACGCUGAGGCUCGAAAGCGUGGGGAGCAAACAGGAUUAGAUACCCUGGUAGUCCACGCCGUAAACGAUGAGUGCUAGGUGUUAGACCCUUUCCGGGGUUCAGUGCCGCAGCUAACGCAUUAAGCACUCCGCCUGGGGAGUACGACCGCAAGGUUG
This 550-nucleotide ribosomal RNA is filed under the name uncultured bacterium. Its description in RNAcentral is "bacterial SSU rRNA". It matches the Rfam family "Bacterial small subunit ribosomal RNA", at positions 355 to 896 of the family's 1533-position model. The record is from RNAcentral.